RNAcentral lists this transfer RNA (85 nucleotides) under Felis catus (domestic cat). It matches the Rfam family "tRNA". Rfam says of the family: Transfer RNA (tRNA) molecules are approximately 80 nucleotides in length. Their secondary structure includes four short double-helical elements and three loops (D, anti-codon, and T loops). Lineage: Eukaryota; Metazoa; Chordata; Mammalia; Carnivora; Felidae. The record is from Rfam by way of RNAcentral.
GCCUGGGUGGCUCAGUGGGUUAAGCGUCUGACUUUGGCUCAGGUCGUGAUCUCACAGUUUGUGGGUUUGAGCCCCGUGUCGGGCU